AGUGAACGCUUUCUUUCUUCCUCCCUCCUUCCCUUCGAACUUCAGCACAGUAAGAGCUUUCUCUUACGGUUGGCGAGUGGCGGACGGGUGAGGAAUACAUCUUAAUCUACUUUUUCGUGGGGGAUAACGUAGGGAAACUUACGCUAAUACCGCAUACGACCUACGGGUGAAAGCAGGGGAUCUUCGGACCUUGCGCGAUUGAAUGAGCCGAUGUCGGAUUAGCUAGUUGGCGGGGUAAAGGCACACCAAGGCGACGAUCCGUAGCUGGUCUGAGAGGAUGAGAAGCCACACUGGAACUGAGACACGGUCCAGACUCCUACGGGAGGCAGCAGUGGGGAAUAUUGGACAAUGGGCGCAAGCCUGAUCCAGCCAUACCGCGUGGGUGAAGAAGGCCUUCGGGUUGUAAAGAAAUUGUGUUGGGAAAGAAAAGCAGCAGGUUAAUACCCCGCUGUUCUGACGGUACCCAAAGAAUAAGCAAAGGAGAACUUCGGG
This 492-nucleotide ribosomal RNA is filed under the name uncultured bacterium. RNAcentral describes it as "partial 16S ribosomal RNA". It matches the Rfam family "Bacterial small subunit ribosomal RNA", at positions 60 to 507 of the family's 1533-position model. The record is from RNAcentral.